This 280-nucleotide ribosomal RNA is filed under the name uncultured Mycobacterium sp. RNAcentral's name for it is "partial 16S ribosomal RNA". It matches the Rfam family "Bacterial small subunit ribosomal RNA", at positions 572 to 849 of the family's 1533-position model. Lineage: Bacteria; Bacillati; Actinomycetota; Actinomycetes; Mycobacteriales; Mycobacteriaceae. The record is from RNAcentral.
UAGGUGGUUUGUCGCGUUGUUCGUGAAAACCGGGGGCUUAACCCUCGGCGUGCGGGCGAUACGGGCAGACUUGAGUACUGCAGGGGAGACUGGAAUUCCUGGUGUAGCGGUGGAAUGCGCAGAUAUCAGGAGGAACACCGGUGGCGAAGGCGGGUCUCUGGGCAGUAACUGACGCUGAGGAGCGAAAGCGUGGGGAGCGAACAGGAUUAGAUACCCUGGUAGUCCACGCCGUAAACGGUGGGUACUAGGUGUGGGUUUCCUUCCUUGGGAUCCGUGCCGU